UGGCGGACGGGUGAGUAAUGUCUGGGAAACUGCCCGAUGGAGGGGGAUAACUACUGGAAACGGUAGCUAAUACCGCAUAACGUCGCAAGACCAAAGAGGGGGACCUUCGGGCCUCUUGCCAUCGGAUGUGCCCAGAUGGGAUUAGCUAGUAGGUGGGGUAACGGCUCACCUAGGCGACGAUCCCUAGCUGGCUGAGAGGAUGACCAGCCACACUGGAACUGAGACACGGUCCAG
Molecule: ribosomal RNA, 234 nt
Filed under: uncultured bacterium
Lineage: Bacteria
Description: partial 16S ribosomal RNA
Rfam family: Bacterial small subunit ribosomal RNA
Source: RNAcentral